RNAcentral lists this transfer RNA (75 nucleotides) under Verrucomicrobiota bacterium. RNAcentral describes it as "Verrucomicrobia bacterium tRNA-OTHER". It matches the Rfam family "tRNA". From Rfam's summary of the family: Transfer RNA (tRNA) molecules are approximately 80 nucleotides in length. Lineage: Bacteria; Pseudomonadati; Verrucomicrobiota. The record is from RNAcentral.
GGGGGCUUAGUGUAAAGGCAGCACAGCGGUAUUUACAGCCUGCUAGUGCCGGUCCAACUCCGGCAGCCUCCACCC